AGUUGUGGGGANAUUCCACGGUUUCCGUGACGCAGCUAACGCAUUAAGUUCCCCGCCUGGGGAGUACGGCCGCAAGGCUAAAACUCAAAGGAAUUGACGGGGACCCGCACAAGCGGCGGAGCAUGCGGAUUAAUUCGAUGCAACGCGAAGAACCUUACCAAGGCUUGACAUAUACGAGAACGGGCCAGAAAUGGUCAACUCUUUGGACACUCGUAAACAGGUGGUGCAUGGUUGUCGUCAGCUCGUGUCGUGAGAUGUUGGGUUAAGUCCCGCAACGAGCGCAACCCUCGUUCUAUGUUGCCAGCACGUAAUGGUGGGAACUCAUGGGAUACUGCCGGGGUCAACUCGGAGGAAGGUGGGGAUGACGUCAAAUCAUCAUGCCCCUUAUGUCUUGGGCUUCACGCAUGCUACAAUGGCCGGUACAAAGGGCUGCAAUACCGUGAGGUGGAGCGAAUCCCAAAAAGCCGGUCCCAGUUCGGAUUGAGGUCUGCAACUCGACCUCAUGAAGUCGGAGUCGCUAGUAAUCGCAGAUCAGCAACGCUGCGGUGAAUACGUUCCCGGGUCUUGUACACACCGCCCGUCAAGUCAUGAAAGUCGGUAACACCUGAAGCCGGUGGCCUAACCCUUGUGGAGGGAGCCGUCGAAGGUGGGAUCGGUAAUUAGGACUAAGUCGUAACAAGGUA
This 683-nucleotide ribosomal RNA is filed under the name Microbacterium sp. RNAcentral describes it as "bacterial SSU rRNA". It matches the Rfam family "Bacterial small subunit ribosomal RNA", at positions 818 to 1498 of the family's 1533-position model. Lineage: Bacteria; Bacillati; Actinomycetota; Actinomycetes; Micrococcales; Microbacteriaceae. The record is from RNAcentral.